Molecule: microRNA precursor, 125 nt
Filed under: Hordeum vulgare
Lineage: Eukaryota; Viridiplantae; Streptophyta; Magnoliopsida; Poales; Poaceae
Description: microRNA MIR1122
Rfam family: MIR1120/MIR1122 microRNA precursor family
Source: RNAcentral
CUUAUACUCCCUCUGUCCGAAAAUAUUUGUCAUAGGAAUGGAUGUAUCUAGAUGUAUUUUAGUUCUAGAUAUAUCCAUUUUUAUCCAUUUGUGUGACAAGUAAUUCCGGACGGAGGGAGUAUGUA